CGCACAUUGCGCCCUUUGGCAUUCCGAAGGGCAUGCCUGUUCGAGCGUCAUUACACCAAUCAAGCCUGGCUUGGUAUUGGGCGACGGGGGCCUUACGACCCCCGCGCCUUAAUGACCACGGCGGGACGGACCGUAUCUCAGCGUUGUGGUAAAAAGCCGCUGGCGAGACGGGCUCGGCCGUGCCGUUAAACAACCCCCUCUCAAGGUUGACCUCGGAUCAGGUAGGGAUACCCGCUGAACUUAA
This 244-nucleotide unclassified non-coding RNA is filed under the name Neodevriesia poagena. RNAcentral's name for it is "partial contains 5.8S ribosomal RNA, internal transcribed spacer 2, and large subunit ribosomal RNA". The record is from RNAcentral. Lineage: Eukaryota; Fungi; Ascomycota; Dothideomycetes; Mycosphaerellales; Neodevriesiaceae.